This 253-nucleotide ribosomal RNA is filed under the name uncultured bacterium. RNAcentral describes it as "partial 16S ribosomal RNA". It matches the Rfam family "Bacterial small subunit ribosomal RNA", at positions 524 to 776 of the family's 1533-position model. The record is from RNAcentral.
UACGGGGGGGGCAAGCGUUGUUCGGAAUUACUGGGCGUAAAGGGCUCGUAGGCGGCCAACUAAGUCAGACGUGAAAUCCCCAGGCUCAACCUGGGAACUGCGUCUGAUACUGGAUGGCUUGAAUCCGGGAGAGGGAUGCAGAAUUCCAGGUGUAGCGGUGAAAUUCGUAGAUAUCGGGAGGAACACCGGUGGCGAAGGCGGCGACCUGGGUAGAUACUGACGCUGAGGUGCGAAAGCGUGGGGAGCAAACAGG